GUGGGGAAUCUUAGACAAUGGGCGCAAGCCUGAUCUAGCCAUGCCGCGUGAGUGAUGAAGGCCCUAGGGUUGUAAAGCUCUUUCAGCUGGGAAGAUAAUGACGGUACCAGCAGAAGAAGCCCCGGCUAACUCCGUGCCAGCAGCCGCGGUAAUACGGAGGGGGCUAGCGGUGUUCGGAAUUACUGGGCGUAAAGCGCGCGUAGGCGGACUGAAAAGUUGGGGGUGAAAUCCCGGGGCUCAACCUCGGAACUGCCUUCAAAACUAUCAGUCUGGAGUUCGAGAGAGGUGAGUGGAAUUCCGAGUGUAGAGGUGAAAUUCGUAGAUAUUCGGAGGAACACCAGUGGCGAAGGCGGCUCACUGGCUCGAUACUGACGCUGAGGUGCGAAAGCGUGGGGAGCAAACAGGAUUAGAAACCCGAGUAGUCC
RNAcentral lists this ribosomal RNA (425 nucleotides) under uncultured bacterium. RNAcentral's name for it is "partial 16S ribosomal RNA". It matches the Rfam family "Bacterial small subunit ribosomal RNA", at positions 354 to 796 of the family's 1533-position model. The record is from RNAcentral.